This 718-nucleotide long non-coding RNA is filed under the name Phoenix dactylifera (date palm). RNAcentral's name for it is "long non-coding RNA (PDAC_LNC019029)". Lineage: Eukaryota; Viridiplantae; Streptophyta; Magnoliopsida; Arecales; Arecaceae. The record is from RNAcentral.
GUAAAAAUGUGACACAUUUGAGUAUUGAGCAAACAACUCCUGAUUUUUGACAAGCAAAAUACAAACUUUGAGAAUUUGGGUUCUCGAAGUCAAAAUCGUACCUUUAUCGAUACCAUCUUUAUCUUGAAACUAUCAUGAGCCUCCAAAUCCUAUGAAUUCUUCAGGAACAACCGAAAAAACACAUCAAAAGAAAUUUAAUUACAGUUAUGUAAUUAAAGAAGUCUUACAAAAAUAUAAUCUUCAAAAAACAAGAAAUUGAAAGGCAAAAAAGGAAAAGGAAGAAGAGGCUCAAAUUCACCACUUCCAGAAGUUCCUCGCCUAUUGCUAGAGAAGCUGACACGCAAAGAAGAGAAGAAGAGUAAUUUCACAACUUGCCCAUCAUCUCAUUAAUAUACAUGCACACAAAAAAGAGGAGAAGAUCCCCGCGCCUCUUCUCCGAUGGUGAUGACCUCUCCAACUUACAAUGAAUGCAGCUCAGGUGCCAGCAAUGUAGCAGACCUUCCACAUAUGUCUCGCCUAUUGCUAGAGAAGAUGGCAUGCAAAGAAGAGAAGAACAAUUUUUAGAAGUCACCCUUGUUGCAUGAAUAUUCAUACAAAAAUAAAUCCGUACACAAAAAAGCGAAGAAGAAAAGGAGAAGGAACAAUGCUUGAAAGGUAACUGAGAAAUCACUAUAGAUGCUCACCUCCUCUCUCAAGUAGAAAGCUAGGAGAAAGGAGA